This 443-nucleotide ribosomal RNA is filed under the name uncultured bacterium. RNAcentral describes it as "partial 16S ribosomal RNA". It matches the Rfam family "Bacterial small subunit ribosomal RNA", at positions 338 to 795 of the family's 1533-position model. The record is from RNAcentral.
CCUACGGGCGGCAGCAGUGGGGAAUAUUGGGCAAUGGAGGCAACUCUGACCCAGCAACGCCGCGUGAAUGAUGAAGGUCCUCGGAUUGUAAAGUUCUUUUUUAAGGGACGAAGAAAGUGACGGUACCUGAGGAAUAAGCCACGGCUAACUACGUGCCAGCAGCCGCGGUAAUACGUAGGUGGCAAGCGUUAUCCGGAUUUAUUGGGUGUAAAGGGCGUGUAGGCGGGAGGGCAAGUCAGAUGUGAAAACGCAGGGCUCAACCCUGAGCCUGCAUUUGAAACUGUGUUUCUUGAGUGCUGGGGAGGCAAUCGGAAUUCCGGGUGUAGCGGUGAAAUGCGUAGAUAUACGGAGGAACACCAGUGGCGAAGGCGGAUUGCUGGACAGUAACUGACGCUGAGGCGCGAAAGCGUGGGGAGCAAACAGGAUUAGAUACCCUUGUAGUC